CAGUGGCACGAUCAUGAGUCACUGCAAGCCUCAAUCUCCUGGGCUCAGGUGAUCCUCCUACCUCAGCCUGUUAAGUAGCUGGGACUGCAGGUGCACACCACCAUGCCUGGCUAAUUUUUCAUAUUGUUUGUAGAGGCGAGGUUUCAUCAUGUUGUCCAGGCUAGUCUCGAACUCCUGGACUCAAGCCAUCCUGUGUUGGCCUCCCAAGGUGUUGGGAUUACAAGCGUGAGCCACUGCCUGGCCCCAGACUUUAACUUUUAUUGAUGAUUUUGUCAUGGUGAUUUUCUGUUUCCAUCAUUUCUUCUGUAUUUACAUUAGUGGUUUUUGGUAAGGAAGAACUUUCCCUUGUUAUGUAUUUAUUUAAUGUUUUAUGUAUAUCAGAAUGGACUCGCGGAUUUUUUUUCCCCUCUUAUAUCAGAUGGACUUACAGAUUCUUCUAUGGAUUUCAUCUAUUAUCAUCAUUAUUUAUUUUGGUGCUCUAAUUAUCCCAGGUUUGGCCCCAUGAAGCCUCUUCAAGGAGGUUCCUGGUCCUUUUGACAUGUCUCCAUCAUUUUGUGAGGGCUUAACUUUUUUUUUUUCUUUUUGAGUCAGGGUCCUGCUGUGUCACUCAGGCUGGAGUGCGCAGUGGUAUGAUCAUAGCUCACUGCAACCUGGAUUUCCUGGGCUCAAGUGAUCCCCCUGCCUUAGCCUCCGGAGUAGCUAGGACUACAGGCCAGAAUUCAUUCAUAUUGUGCAUUACACAAUCAGUGUGCAUAUUGCACAUUGAUUUUAUCUUCGUCUGAAAGUAUAGCACAUGGCCGGGCGCGGUGGCUCACGCCUAUAAUCCCAACACUUUGGGAGGCUGAGGCGGGCAGAUCACAAGAUGUGUUAAUAUCAUUGUGCUACAGUUGCAUACAGUAUUCAGUACAGUAACAUGCUGUACAGCCACUUUGCAAAACACUGUCAAUUAAAAUUUAUAUAUGUUGAUUUAUGUUAGAACAAAGUGUAAAAUCUUUUUUAUUGGUUUGUGUUAUGAAAACUUUAAAUUUCAAUGUAAAUUUAUAAGAAAGUUCUUAUAAAAUUUCUGGCAUACCUUCUUCCAGUUUCUUUUUAUUUUACUUUUUCUUGUGUUAGCCUGGUCAUAAAUAAACUCUACCUUUCUUUGGUGCUUCAAGUUAAGCUUGUUCAUAGGCAUUGAGAUAAGUAAAUGAAUGUUAUUGCUGAUGUUUAUUUCAUUCUGUCUUGAUCUCAUGAUAUGAGAAUAUAAGGAGAUGUCUGAAAACUUGUUUUAAAAAUCCUAUGAAGCAUAAGUUCAUGAAUAAAGAAGGAAGUGGAACUUGUCUUGAGAGAAUUUGCCUAUUUAGAUGGUUUCCAAAGUGCAUUCUGCUAGUCACUAGAGAUGGUCCUUGAAAGAGUUCUGUAAUUAAGUUUGAAGAAACACUGUGUACCAUAAUAAUGGCCUAUUGAAUAUUUUACCAUGCACAUUAAUAUAUCAAAGGCUUUGAGAUAUCUUACAAGAAAGAAACUUGCUAAAGCUUGUCUUCCUGCAUGUCUUAAGCUUCUUCCACAGUGACUUUAAGUCGGACUUGUCUAUCCUGUGAGAAAUGCUGCCCUCUAGAGGCACAAAUUCAAUUGCUCUUAAAUUUGAGUACCAUAAUGCUGCCUGAUCUUAGUGUGAAGUUGUGAUAAUUAAUAUUAAUCAAAUGCAUGGUAACAAAACCAAAUAGAAGAAAUCUUAUGUUGCUUAAUUUUAAGAAAAUAUGAGGAAACAGAAUUGCAAUUUAUAAAUACCCACUUUUUAAAUUGUACAUGUGAUAUUUUUGGCUGCUAAUAAUCUUUUGAAUACAUUUCUGUAUAUGGGGAAUUGCGGACACAUAGUACUUCAAGUCUCCAAACUCUGAGUCUCUCCUGCUAGCAGAAGCCAUCCUUCCCUGUGUUAACAACCUUGCUUAAGACAGUUACCAUCCAUGGGGAAGCUAGUUUCCUCAUACCCCUUCCCACGAUACUCAUGUUUCCAUACCUGUAACUGGAGUCAGACUAUAUCAUGCUGCACCUUUGCAGUCACAAUGGGAAGAAAAGGAUUAUAUGUAAUUUUUUUAAAGUUUUUUUUUUUUUUUUUUUUUUUUGCUGACAAAGCAGCAAAACCUUCAGGAAUAUGUACAGAAAUGGGUGAUGAUGAUGAUGUGAGAGAGAAAGAAACAUGCUUUUGCAUUUGGCUGAAUGUAUUGGUAUGGUGCAGUUAUCAGAGAUUCUGAAUUCAUUGUUCUCGUUCAAGUAGCCAGGAGUGGUUCUAAUUGUUUGCUCCUUUGGUCUCAGCAUUGACUUAUACUAAAUGAAGUUGAAUGCCUAAAAACUCAUAGCAUAAUAUAGAGGAAGAAGUCAAAAGAUUAAAGGAAAUAGAACUGAUGGAGUGGAUUUAUCACUGUGACCAUUCACUUACCUCCCCUAUUCCCUCUCCAGUAUUCUCUACUAAGAGGUCUGGAAGACACUUCAUUCACCAACCUAAUGAGAAAUACUUUGAGGGCAGUGCCAGCAUAUAUGAAAAGUAAUUCAAUUGCUUUUGUCUGUAGGCUGGAGGAGAUACUUUCAUUGAAAUUGUCUUUUUUACUUCAGGGGGUGUGGCCAGAUUCUAGGUAAGGUCCAGGCAUCAUUUUCAUAAGGUAGCUUGACAGGCAUGAUGAUCAGAGAUGCACUGACUUGAAUUCUUUUUGGCUGUGACUAAAUGAUCAUGGAUCCCUACGUCUAAAAUAGAGAGGAAGCCUAUUAAGAUCCUACUUUAUCUGUAUGAGCAAAAAAUUUUAGGUCUCAUAGGAGAAGGCCUUACUUGAACUACCAUAAGAGUGAGUUGGCCAGCCUGGGCAACAUGGUGAAACCCUGUCUCUACAAAAAACACAAAAGUUAACUUUUGUGUUUUGGGCAUGGCUGCGUGAGCCUGUGGUCCUGGCUGCUCAGGAGGCUGCCCCCUUUUUGCAGUUUACUUCAUGGGUUAUAUGAGAAAACAGGAAGGAGGGGGAUAUCACCGAGAGAUUCUGAUAUUGGAGCUGUGUGCAAUAACUGAUAAGUCUCUGGUUCUUACCUCCAUAUGAGGAACAGAGAGAGUCUUGUUUGUACAAGGCUUAGUUAUAAUCUGUCAGGUUUGAGGAUCUUGAUUGGAAGCAUAGACUUGAUCUGUAUUUGUGGUUUCUCAUUUCAAAUAGCCUCUCAAUGUUGGAUAAAUUUGCAUGUUCAUGUUUUAUAGAGUCAGAACUCAAUUUCCUAGUAUUCCUUGCAGCUAGGGCACAAGCAUAUGACCUAGGCUUUAUUGAUCAGAUGCAUCUGUGUAAGACAUGAAUUCAGGGUCAGAGAAAUGCAGGGUAACAGCUCUUGCCUGGAAUUGCUUUCUAAUGUGCAUGUUGAGUGACAAGAUAUUGAGCUGUUUAGAGGUAGCAGUGACAGAGAUACUAGUGAGCCUUGUUGUCCUAGGCUCAGCUUUCAUGGUACUAGGGCUGAAGGAUGGGAACAAUUUGGUGGGGAGACUUAGGUAUUUUUCCUGGCAUCAUAUCUCCAAGUGGAUUCUUCAGUUCUCUGAUAAUUCUUGGAAUCCCCUAAUAUAUUAAUAAAUUUAUUUUCUCUUGAAACCACCUCAAAUAGAUUCUGUUUAUAGCUUAGAGCCCUGAUUGAUCGUCUAACUUUAAAGAUUUUAUUUAUCGUCAAAAUAUUUUAUUUUUCUAAUUGAGAUCUAAAAAUUGUCAAGCACUUAUACUCUAUUUUUUCCCUUCCUAGAGCUCUGCAAUCCUUUGCUGUCAUUUUUUCUUACCAGGAAUGCCAAUUUUUGUACCUUUUGAAUUGCUUUUUCUUCUUUGCUACUUGGCUUGAGCUCCACUAUUGUUAUGAAACCUUUCUUAUACCAUCCCAGCAGCCUGAUGGAUUUUUUUCUUCCUCUGAAUUCCAGUAGCACUUGUUUAGACAUUAAGUGCAAGGUGUUUUUUUGUUUUGUUUUGUUUUUCUGUAUGCAUCUUAGCUUCCGCACUAAAUGAUAAGCUCCCUGAAAACUAGUACUAUGCCUCUUUAUAUCGCUUGCAUUGUCCAACAGAAUGUCUUGCACCUAUUAGAUUCAAGGUUCAGCACAGUCACCCUCAUAAUAUAUAGUGAUGAGAGUUGCUGAGAAUCACAGUGAUGCCAGGCUGAAUGAGCUGAGAUAAUAAACUAGUUAGAUGCAUAGUCUGGCCAUGAGGCCCAAUUUCCAUCUUCCUCAAGGAGUCUGAGACUUGCCUCUCAGUAGUUUUCGUUAGUAGGUGAUCAUAUCUUCUGAAUUACUGUCUUCUUAAUGUUUUAUGAGUUUUUUUUUGCCUUGACAAAAGCCUUCUAUUUCUCUCAUGCUUCCUAGUUCCUUCCAUUGUGCCCUCUGCAAUUUCUUUUCACUAAGCUUACUAUUUGCAGUCUCUUAAAAUUUGUGUAAAUUAUGAAAUCAAAGAUACAAAGAAAGGACAGAAAGUAGUAUAACAAACACCUGUGUAUCUAACCUCAGGGUCAAGCAGAUAUUAACCUUUUGCCUCGUUUGAUUUCCUUUUAAAGUUCUUCCCUCCCCAUACUUUUCUCCCUUCUUUGGAGGUACUCAUUAUCCUAAAGUCCUUACGAUUAUUUCCCUGCUGUUUUUGUACACAUAAAACAUUUACACAAAAGAUGACCUGUGUUUUUUUCUAGAUGUGUUCAUAUUGACAUGUGUAGAUUUAGUUCAUUCAUUGUAACUACUGUUUAGUUUUCCAGGUUGAAUAAUGCUAAGUUUUAUAGAGAUAAUGCAGUUCUACCUUUUGGCAAAUAAUAUUGUAAUGCUCGUACAUAGGUACUUACUGUAAUUUUAUCUAGGAUAGAUACCUGAAAGUAGAAUUGCUGAAUCACAGGGUUCAGGUGCCACUUUAUCAAGUAUUGCCGAGUCCAGUCCAAAGUGGAGCUACCAUUUUAUACCCAUUAACAUGUUUCCACACUUUUUUUUAUCAACAUUUAAUUUUAUCUAGC
Molecule: long non-coding RNA, 4974 nt
Filed under: Homo sapiens (human)
Lineage: Eukaryota; Metazoa; Chordata; Mammalia; Primates; Hominidae
Description: HSALNT0322979
Source: RNAcentral